RNAcentral lists this transfer RNA (65 nucleotides) under Antigona lamellaris. RNAcentral's name for it is "tRNA-Ile". The record is from RNAcentral. Lineage: Eukaryota; Metazoa; Mollusca; Bivalvia; Venerida; Veneridae.
AACAUUAUGCCAGAUGAAUUGGGUUACCUUGAUGAGGUAAAAUAUGGAUUAGUUUUCUAAUGUUU